AGGCUGCAACUCGCCUGCAUGGAGUCGGAAUUGCUAGUAAUCGCAGAUCAGCAUGCUGCGGUGAAUACGUUCCCGGGCCUUGUACACACCGCCCGUCACACCAUGAGAGUUGGAGAUACCCGAAGCCUGUGAGCUAACUUUUAGAGGCAGCAGUCGAAGGUAGAAUCAAUGAUUGGGGUGAAGUCGUAACAAGGUAAC
This 198-nucleotide ribosomal RNA is filed under the name uncultured bacterium. RNAcentral's name for it is "partial 16S ribosomal RNA". It matches the Rfam family "Bacterial small subunit ribosomal RNA", at positions 1302 to 1500 of the family's 1533-position model. The record is from RNAcentral.